This 207-nucleotide ribosomal RNA is filed under the name uncultured bacterium. Its description in RNAcentral is "partial 16S ribosomal RNA". It matches the Rfam family "Bacterial small subunit ribosomal RNA", at positions 568 to 774 of the family's 1533-position model. The record is from RNAcentral.
UGCGUAGGCGGUCUUUUAAGUCCGAUGUGAAAGCCCUGGGCUCAACCUGGGAAUGGCAUUGGAUACUGGAAGGCUAGAGUACGGUAGAGGAGGGUGGAAUUCCCGGUGUAGCGGUGAAAUGCGUAGAGAUCGGGAGGAACAUCAGUGGCGAAGGCGGCCCUCUGGACCAGUACUGACGCUGAGGCACGAAAGCGUGGGGAGCAAACA